This is a long non-coding RNA of Nicotiana attenuata, 483 nucleotides long. RefSeq lists it as uncharacterized. Lineage: Eukaryota; Viridiplantae; Streptophyta; Magnoliopsida; Solanales; Solanaceae. The transcript has 2 exons. The record is from RefSeq and is a predicted model, not a curated record.
CACUGUAAUUAAUGAUUUAUAUAUUUGGCUUUGGUAGGAUUGUAUUGGUGCAAUCGAUGGAACAUAUAUUCAAGGAGAGAUCCCAAGAAAUAAGCAGCAGGCAUAAUGCAACCGCAAAGGAAAUACUUCGCAAAAUGUUUUGUGUGCAUGUGAUUUUGAUAUGAGGUUCACUUUUGUUGCAGCUGGCUCGGAGGGUAUGAUAGUAAAGUGCUUGAGAAUGCAAUUCUUGACCCAUUGGCAAAAUUUCCAUUUCCACCACAAGAUAAAUAUUAUGUUGUCGACGCUGGUCUUCGGAACACGAAAGGAUUCCUAGCUCCAUACAAAGGAACGCUCUAUCAUUUGCAGGACUAUAGAGGGAGUGAAAGAGAGCCCAAGAACGGCAAAGAGCUAUUUAACUAUAGACAUGCCUCUCUGCGCAAUGUAAUUGAAAGAACAUUUGGAGCGUGGCAAAAGUAGAUUCAGAAUACUACGACAAGGCAUGAA